GUGGAGAAAUAGGUGCCACAAGAUAGGAGAUUGAGCAUCCAGGACACCUUGAUCCACCCCAUAAAGGACGCACAGAUGCCCUUGCUGUCUUCCAGACCAGAACUCCAACAAUAGCUGCCCAUGAACCCAAGAAGGAGGUAAAGAAUUGAUGCCACCAUCAUGGCAACUCUUACAUAAUUUGGUGACUCAAGCUCCAUAAUUACAGGGAUGAAUGUGAUUAUGCCCACAGAACCAUUAACAGCAUUCACACGAAUUGCAUAGAGUAGCAUUGAGCAGAUUGGUUCCAUGUAACUAUCAUCUUGGAUGAGGGUUGUAUCCUUAGCUUUUGAGUUUCAUUCCCAGUAUCCUUGCUUGCCUUCUAUUGGUAAAUGCUUGAGAACAUAGUAUAUGAGCAAAGAACGAUGACACAGAGGAUUAAUAUGAUAGACAAUGAUCCACAUGGUGGUAUUUGCCAUCUUCAGAGUCAAGUGAUUAACUUGCAUCUAGAUAGCCUUUGAGUAGAACCAUAGCACAACAGACUCUUGAGAGGGGCUAAGCUAUUCCGAAGGAUGAAGAUUGUAUUUGCUUCCUCAUCCAUCAGAAUU
Molecule: long non-coding RNA, 584 nt
Filed under: Elaeis guineensis (African oil palm)
Lineage: Eukaryota; Viridiplantae; Streptophyta; Magnoliopsida; Arecales; Arecaceae
Description: long non-coding RNA (EGUI_LNC035174)
Source: RNAcentral